This 513-nucleotide long non-coding RNA is filed under the name Mytilus galloprovincialis (Mediterranean mussel). Lineage: Eukaryota; Metazoa; Mollusca; Bivalvia; Mytilida; Mytilidae. The record is from RNAcentral.
AAUUUCAUUAGGCCACACCAAUUUGAUUCCUUGUUCGACGGACCCGCCCGCACCUAUUUUUUUCAAAACAGAAUUUUUUUAUUUUUUUUAUAUUCCCGCUUCCCGCAUCCGGAAAUGUAAUCAUGUCCAUUUCCCGCACCGUUUUUUUUUUUGUAAAUAUUAUAAAAAGAUAUCAACAUUUGUUUUUAAAAUCACAGUCUAACCUGCUAUAUAACGAUUUUAAACAUAAAAGCACCCCACCAUACUGUGUAAAUAUAUGUGAGAAUAUUUGUUUCAGCAUGAAACCUAUUUAUCUAUAGUGGGAGUGCUCCGAAAUAAAUUUAUAAAGUUCAGCGGAAAUACCUGUAAAGAACAAAAAAAAUUGGUUUCUUUCCCCCUUACUUAUAUUCCCUAUAAAAAAUGUUCGUUGUUAGAAUAAAAUACAAAAAACUUCUUAAGGAUUUGCCUUCAACUGCAAUUAUAUUGUAUGCUGGCGAAACAAAACUAUCCAUAGCCGCUACAUGUUUAUGCACC